ACAACACACAGGGAUUCUUCAUAUUGGGCUUUGCUCACAUUUGGUCCACAAGUUUGUAGGGCGUAUGGCCCGUUUACCUUUUAUAAAAAGAAAUGAAGUUGUAAAAAGGAAUUUGACAAGCUUUCUUCAUACCCCUGGUAAGAAACCUGCUGCUGCAACCAAGAAGAAGUUGUAAAAAGGAAUGAAGAAUAUGUAAUGCAGAAACUUGCUGCUGCAACCAAGCUUUCUUCAGGCUUUAAAUUUGAUUAUGCUUACAUCUUCUGAGUUGGGGUUACUAGCAUACGAGUUCUGUGAUCCAAUCUCUAACAGAAGAGGAUAUCAAUGUAAAAUUUUUGGUUUAGUUGGAUAAACUGAUCCACCUAUUGGAGACUCUAAUUUUUUGCUUAUCUUAGGCUUCAGGUAACUUAUAUAUGUAUAUACAUUCAUUAUUAAAGUUGAGCGGGUAUGGUUUGAUAUGCGAUAAAGAUGUAUGGAAAAUACUUGGUUUAUUGUUUAUGUUUGUUUUUUUAUAGCUUCUUGAAGCUGGAAGAUAUAUAUAUAUAUAUAUAUAUAUAUAUAUAUAUAUAUAUAUAUAUAUAUAUAUAUAUAUAUAUAUAUAUAUAUAUAUAUAUAUAUAUAUAUAUAUAUGGUUGUUAAAAGCGUUGUAUGGUCUGUUGAUGUUCUUCCCCAGGUAUAUAUAAUAUAUGUGAUGUGAAAGACUUGUAAUAAAGUGAAUUGAGUGUAAACUGUAAAUGUUGGUGGGUUGUUGCAGCAAAGUGUAACUUUUAAGAUAUUAAGAACUUGUUUAAAGAUGGUUCCUUCAUAUUCAUAUUCCUAUUCUUUUACCAACAACAACCAGAAUGAGAAUGAGAGUGAUAAUGGAAUAAUAAUGAUAAACUUUGAAAGUUGGCUGCAAAAAUAUCAACAAAUGUAGAAGCUGCAUCGUCUUCAUUCUAAAUCACAACACACUGCUUCCAUACCGAUACCCUCAAAGGUUUAUUUUGUCAUGUAAUUUAUUCUAAAAAUUUGUUAGGAAAUUAAAAAGCUGAUAAGAAUUUUGCAGGAAGUUGAAAAAACACAAGAAUCUUCCAAUAUUCUUCCAGAUAUGAAUCUCUUGAGCAGGCCACCUUCCAGAUUCUCUCGUAAAGCUCCUUGAUUUCAUUGCCUAUGGUGUAUGGUGGUAUAAAGUGUAAAUUAUAGUAUUGUUCAUUUAUUUAUUUACUUUUGUUGAACUGGUAUUGUGGGUGGGUCUUGUGGUUGUUUUAUUUUUCUUCAAAACCACAGGGGUAGAUAAGCUAGAUAUUCAUUUUCAAGUUGCUGAUUGUUGCAUCUCAUACAAUUGUUUUUAUAAUAUAUUGCUGGUUGAGUAAAUUUCGUA
This is a non-coding RNA of Lactuca sativa (garden lettuce), 1357 nucleotides long. Lineage: Eukaryota; Viridiplantae; Streptophyta; Magnoliopsida; Asterales; Asteraceae. The record is from RefSeq and is a predicted model, not a curated record.